GGAGAUGGAAUGGGCUUGGGGAGAGGCUUUAAUGGUACUUGAGAGAUGAAGCAGGGGAAUAUUGUUUGCAAAAAGCACCCAUGGUUGCCCACCAAAGCUGGUAUGAACAAGCUCCUGGCUCCACUGGUUCCCCUGUCAGCAGGCAUCAUCCGGUUAUGAGAAGUCAGAAGAAAGGUGGAGUUCGAUGAAGAGCAGCGUGGGACAUCUACGGACAUUAGCGAUGGUAAGAUUCACAGGUUUGCAUCAGCGCAAUCGGCAUAAAAAUUACCGAUGUAACUUGUGAACUCAAAAAGUCCAUCUGAUACAAGUUGAUUCGUUUUUAUAUUUGUUGCGGUAAAAAUAGAAUUUAUAUAGAAUUAUUAGUGGGUGUGCUUCAGUUUUAUUAUUUAGAAAGUGACCGAUAAUUUGUGAAACAUUUUUUUCCCGUUUCUCGAGCGCGUUCUCUCAAAGCUACGAAGACAGAGGCGUGUCCUAAAUCGCAUAGAAUACAGAUUAACAUGGCAGAGGUAGAGCUGUGACUUCCUGCAGACACAACAGGAAAAGAACGUCUGGUUUUAUUUCAUCUUGUUUGUUUUGUUUUUUGCACUACGAAGGCGUGUGAAAGGGUCAUGCGUUAGAAGUCAGAAAGCAUUUAAGUAAAUUGAUGAUUUGCCGUCUGUGUGAACCAAAGAAAUAAAAUCUCUGUACCACAUUGAAUUGCAGAGCAUCGUAUUUUUCUCACAUUGAAUAGCGUUGUGAUGAAUCGAAUCUAAAUCGUAUCACGUCAGUAGCUGCUUCAUAUGUAUCUUUAAUGGAUCGUAUCGUUGGCUGUGUAUCGAGAUGCAAAUUGCAUCGGCCUCAGGUAUGGAGAUGCACAUAUUGGACAUGUUCUUCUGGGACUGUCCAGUCUGAUUAGCUCAUAAACAGGUUAUAAUAUAAUAUAAUUGGGUCAUGGUCCACCUUUACCUGAGCUAAACAUACAUCUUUAUUCGGUCUACAUUUAAUAUGACCAACCUUCAAAAGUGCAUCGUAAAACAUGUCCUUGUGUACCAUUAACUUUGUGGAAGGACAUUUGAAACGCCUUUGUGCUGAAAAAGUCAUUGUAUAAAGAAGUAGCAAUAUGAAAAAUGCUCGUGUGUGAAGCGGAAUAUAAAGAAAUGAUUAUUGAGAGCAUAUUCUGAAAAGGUUGAUGAGUCUACCAUCUGCAAUAUAUCUACAAAUUUUCGCAAAAAAAAUAAA
Long non-coding RNA from Silurus meridionalis, 1218 nucleotides. RefSeq lists it as uncharacterized. Lineage: Eukaryota; Metazoa; Chordata; Actinopteri; Siluriformes; Siluridae. The record is from RefSeq and is a predicted model, not a curated record. The transcript has 2 exons.